RNAcentral lists this non-coding RNA (890 nucleotides) under Limnonectes taylori. RNAcentral's name for it is "partial 12S rRNA". It matches the Rfam family "Bacterial small subunit ribosomal RNA". The record is from RNAcentral. Lineage: Eukaryota; Metazoa; Chordata; Amphibia; Anura; Dicroglossidae.
CCCUAAACCUACACAUGCAAGUCUCAGCACUCCUGUGAGGACGCCCUUCUUUCUAACCCAGACUUAGGAGCCGGCAUCAGGCACUAAAAUCGCCCACAACGCCUAGUCCCACCACACCUUCAAUGGUUUUCAGCAGUGAUUAAUAUUGUUUAUAAGUGUUAACUUGAACCAGUUAUAGGGAAGAGAGCUGGCCAACUCGGUGCCAGCCGCCGCGGCUAAACCGCACGAGCUCAAGUUGAUAGCUUUCGGCGUUAAGCGUGAUUAAAGAUCUUUAUUAGUUAGAGUCAAACCUAAACUCAGCUGUAAUAAGCUUGUUGUUGAGAAAAACAAGUACGAAAGUUACUCUAAUAAACUUGAAUACACGACAGUCGGGAAACAAACUGGGAUUAGAUACCCCACUAUGCCCCACCGUAAAAUAUAUACUUACAAAACUAACGCCAGGGUAUUACGAGCCUCAGCUUAAAACCCAAAGGACUUGACGGUGUCCCAUCCAACUAGAGGAGCCUGUUCUAUAAUCGAUAACCCCCGAUAUACCCAACCCCCCCUUGCCAAUCAGCCUGUAUACAUCCGUCGCAAAUUUACCAUAUGAAUGCUAACAGUAAAUUUAAUGAUUUAUCACCAAUACGUCAGGUCAAGGUGCAGCUCAUGAUGGGGAAAGCAAUGGGCUACAAUUUCUAAAAUAGAACCACGGAAUGCUCCAUGAAACACAGCAUGAAGACGGAUUUAGUAGUAAAAAGUAAAUAAAGUGUUCUUUUUAAUAAGGCCCUGGGACGUGUACACACCGCCCGUCACCCUCUUCAACAGCACAUAAUAUGUUUUUAACAAGUUCUGCACUCUAGAAGAGGCAAGUCGUAACAUGGUAAGUGUACUGGAAGGUGCACUUGGAUUAC